This 249-nucleotide unclassified non-coding RNA is filed under the name Glomus sp. RNAcentral describes it as "partial contains 5.8S ribosomal RNA and internal transcribed spacer 2". The stretch from base 1 to 71 matches the Rfam family "5.8S ribosomal RNA", at positions 84 to 154 of the family's 154-position model. Lineage: Eukaryota; Fungi; Glomeromycota; Glomeromycetes; Glomerales; Glomeraceae. The record is from RNAcentral.
GUGAAUCAUCGAAUCUUUGAACGCAAAUUGCACUCUCUGGUAUUCCGGAGAGUAUGCCUGUUUGAGGGUCAGUUUAAAUAAAAAUCGGUUUUGUUGCUACCUUUCGUGGUUACGCACCGGAUUUCUGUCUUCAUGCCUUCGGUUAAGUGACCUAAAAUUUUCCAUGAUUUUGUUCUAACGUAUUUAAAUGAAUUUACGUACGUUUGCGUAAUCGUAUUCUAAUUGUCUUCAUCCUCAUGAUUAGCUCCU